ACGAACGCUGGCGGCGUGCUUAACACAUGCAAGUCGCACGGAAAGGCCCUGCUUUUGUGGGGUGCUCGAGUGGCGAACGGGUGAGUAACACGUGAGUAACCUGCCCUUGACUUUGGGAUAACUUCAGGAAACUGGGGCUAAUACCGGAUAGGAGCUCCUGCUGCAUGGUGGGGGUUGGAAAGUUUCGGCGGUUGGGGAUUGACUCGCGGCUUAUCAGCUUGUUGGUGGGGUAGUGGCUUACCAAGGCUUUGACGGGUAGCCGGCCUGAGAGGGUGACCGGCCACAUUGGGACUGAGAUACGGCCCAGACUCCUACGGGAGGCAGCAGUGGGGAAUAUUGCACAAUGGGCGGAAGCCUGAUGCAGCAACGCCGCGUGCGGGAUGACGGCCUUCGGGUUGUAAACCGCUUUCGCCUGUGACGAAGCGUGAGUGACGGUAAUGGGUAAAGAAGCACCGGCUAACUACGUG
This 467-nucleotide ribosomal RNA is filed under the name uncultured bacterium. Its description in RNAcentral is "partial 16S ribosomal RNA". It matches the Rfam family "Bacterial small subunit ribosomal RNA", at positions 29 to 507 of the family's 1533-position model. The record is from RNAcentral.